CACCGCGGUUAUACGAGAAACCCUAGUUGACAAAUACGGCGUAAAGAGUGGUUAAGGGUUAAAAAAAAUAAAGUCAAACAUUUUCCUAGUUGUUAUAAGCAUUUCGAAAACAUGAAGCCCAACCACGAAAGUGACUUUACCUCCACCUGACCCCACGAAAGCUAAGAAA
Molecule: ribosomal RNA, 169 nt
Filed under: Megalamphodus megalopterus (black phantom tetra)
Lineage: Eukaryota; Metazoa; Chordata; Actinopteri; Characiformes; Acestrorhamphidae
Description: partial 12S rRNA
Source: RNAcentral